RNAcentral lists this ribosomal RNA (671 nucleotides) under Monteverdia meguillensis. Its description in RNAcentral is "eukaryotic LSU rRNA". The record is from RNAcentral. Lineage: Eukaryota; Viridiplantae; Streptophyta; Magnoliopsida; Celastrales; Celastraceae.
UUUCCGUAGGUGAACCUGCGGAAGGAUCAUUGUCGAAACCCUCAAGGCAGAYCGACCCGCGGACAAGUGAAAYCGASGCCCGAAGUCCGCGGAGAGGGCCGCGGGCAACCGCGAGUCCUCUCCCGCGGGCACGAACAACGACCCCCGGCGCGAAUCGCGUCAAGGAAAAYGAAAGAAGAUGUGCGAUCCCCUCGUCCCGGAAACGGSGUCGCGGGGGGGUCGGCGUCGUCGUCGAUACGACGGACAAAACGACUCUCGGCAACGGAUAUMUCGGCUCUCGCAUCGAUGAAGAACGUAGCGAAAUGCGAUACUUGGUGUGAAUUGCAGAAUCCCGUGAACCAUCGAGUUUUUGAACGCAAGUUGCGCCCGAAGCCUUCGGGCCGCAGGGCACGCCUGCCUGGGUGUCACGCAMCGUCGCCGCGAACCCACUCGGCCCCCUUCCGAGGGGAACGUUGGGGGACGGCGGAUAUUGGCCUCCCGUGGGCUCCCGCCCGCGGUUGGUCCAAAAGACGGUCCCCUGGCGACGGCAGCCACGGCAAGCGGUGGUCGGCAGAGCGAGCUCCUCUAACACCGUCGUGGGCGAGCCUCGUCGACGGGGUGCGAACGGCCCCGGCGCAUGCGCCGCUUUAGAAGCGACCCCAGGUCAGGCGGGAACACCCGCUGAGUUUAAG